RNAcentral lists this ribosomal RNA (624 nucleotides) under Triticum aestivum (bread wheat). Its description in RNAcentral is "partial small subunit ribosomal RNA". The record is from RNAcentral. Lineage: Eukaryota; Viridiplantae; Streptophyta; Magnoliopsida; Poales; Poaceae.
AUGGAGUGCAAGGCGGCGAGCGAGUCGUCUUCGUCCUCGUCCGCUCCCUCUUCUUCCAUGGAUAGCUGUGGCGCCGGCGGGCCGCGGGCGACGGUCUCCACGGCGUCGUCCUGCUACCGGCCGGCGAUCCACAGGGACCUAAGCACGGACCUUCACCUCGGGCUCAGCCUGCGGUCGUGCUCCUCCUCCUUCCACACGGCUGACGGCGUCUCCGCUUCCACUCCAAGGAGCACCCUGACGACGACGACGAUGAGGCCAGCGGCGCCGUCGCCGGAUCCGGCGUACGAGAGAGGCGGCGGCGGCAGCCAUGGGCAGCAGUCGCUAUUUGUGAAGGUGUACAUGGAGGGCGUCCCCAUCGGCCGGAAGCUGGAUCUGCUGCUGCUGGACGGCUACGACGGACUCCUCGCCGUCCUAGGCCGCAUGUUCAAGGCCUCCAUCAUACAUCCGGAUACCGUCGGCCGUGAUCACCGAGUGGUUCUUGGGGAGAAGCAGGCUCGCCAUGUUGUCACUUAUCAAGACCAGGAGGGGGACUGGCUGAUGGCCGGGGACGUGCCGUGGGAGCUAUUCCUGGCGGGUGUGAAGAAAUUGAAGAUUGCAAGGGUGGAUAGUAGCAUCUCUGAUUGA